UUCCACACAGUUGAAAUUAGGUCAAAGAGAAAAUCUAGAGCGGUCUGAGGGAGAAAAAAAUCCCUGGGCUGCAUCACGCAAACUGGGUUGAGGAGGACAACGCGUCCCUUGCCGUUUGCUCUGGUGAAGGCUGGUGCCUGUCACAUGUGCCUCAGACCUUUCUGCUCAGGGCAGCUGACUUCUGAGUCACCGUGGUUUAGGAGAGCGCUCUCAAACAUCAGGCUGCCUAACCACCAUCUGAUGGCUUCUUCGCACCGAGCCAGUUAGAAAUGCAAGAACAGCCGCAGGGCUGCUGGCUCUUCAUUAUUUUAAGAAAAUCUUUGCUCUGUUUUUGAUCAUGGCUGCAAAUUAACAACAGAUAUGAAAACCAAGCUGUUUCCUCCAAACAACGGCCUGAUCUUUGUUUGGGAAUGGGGCUAACCCUGGAGCAGCAGCAACUCAGCGGAGGAUGCCGGAGGGUCCCGGACCUGGAUACACCGUAGUUGGCGGUAGGUACUCAUGGAGUCUGAGGAAGCAAUGUUCUGAGAGAAGAGUGGGGGAAAGGAGCAGUCCGCACGCACGUGACAAGGAAAGACCUGGGCCACCAGCUGGAAACCCAGCUCCUCCCAGGUUUUGACACCAUCUGAUAAGUUAUUUCUCCACCCUAGAAAUAAGCCAAUUCAAACCGGAUUAAAAGUAAAACAAGGCAGGUUUAUUGGGAAACUGCUCUCGGGCAAAUUCAAUGGACCCAAGGACAGAAGCCAGGGAGAGGGAAAGGAAAAAAGAGAAAGGACAUGCAAACAGAGAAAGAAAAGAAGAGAGAGAAAGAGAGAGAGAAGACCAAAAUAUCUGGAUUUUAUUGGGAAGAGCCUCUCGAAGAAGGGCAGCCCAGUCCCUGGAUAGAAAGUUCAGGUUUGGGGAUAGGGUGUGCCAGGUAAGGACUAAGGGAUGCUGGGAGAGACUGGAGGCCUAGUCUGCUUUGAUAUGUAAAAUAUACACCUGGGGGCAGGGGGCUUGUCCCAGAGUCUGAAGGAAGAGUUUACGGCCAAAGUUGAUGGCCUAAGUUAGAUUCCUUACGAUUUACACUGUAAAGAAAGGUAACUCUCCUGGGUUCCGUCCCCAGCUCCGAGAAAAAAAAAAAAAAAAAAGGAAAGGUAACUCUCAAAAGUUGCCCUCUGGGGGCUGGGGAUUUAGCUCAGUGGUAGAGCGCUUACCUAGGAAGCGCAAGGCCCUGGGUUCGGUCCCCAGCUCUGAAAAAAAAAAGAACAAAAAAAAAAAAAAAAAAAAGUUGUCCUCUGACCUCCACACUUGCUAUGGCAUACAAGGUUUGGGCAUGUGACACACACACACACACACACACACACACACACACACACACACACACAAAUAUGUAAUAAAUGUGAUAAAACUUUUAAAUGCAAGCAAUGUUUCUAUGAAGAUAAUCAGUUCUUGAACUU
Molecule: long non-coding RNA, 1436 nt
Organism: Rattus norvegicus (Norway rat)
Lineage: Eukaryota; Metazoa; Chordata; Mammalia; Rodentia; Muridae
Source: RefSeq, a predicted model, not a curated record